CCCAUUUCUUCGGAAAGUAAGAUCCCUGAAAGAUGAUCAGGUAGAUAGGUUUGGAGUGGAAGUGUAGCGAUACAUGGAGCGGACAAAUACUAAUCGAUCGAGGACUUAACCAAAA
RNAcentral lists this ribosomal RNA (115 nucleotides) under Listeria monocytogenes. Its description in RNAcentral is "partial 23S ribosomal RNA". It matches the Rfam family "Bacterial large subunit ribosomal RNA", at positions 2813 to 2925 of the family's 2925-position model. The record is from RNAcentral. Lineage: Bacteria; Bacillati; Bacillota; Bacilli; Caryophanales; Listeriaceae.